AUGAAAUGCAAGGGCGCUCUUCUUAGAGGUCCAACCCAUAUCAUUUUCACCCUGUGCACACACUAUUUUACACCUUUUUAAACACAAAGUAACAGAAUGUAAUCAGUCUCUUAAUUGAGCAUAAAAGUUAAUA
This 133-nucleotide unclassified non-coding RNA is filed under the name uncultured fungus. RNAcentral's name for it is "sequence contains ITS1, 5.8S rRNA gene". Lineage: Eukaryota; Fungi. The record is from RNAcentral.